RNAcentral lists this ribosomal RNA (446 nucleotides) under uncultured bacterium. RNAcentral describes it as "partial 16S ribosomal RNA". It matches the Rfam family "Bacterial small subunit ribosomal RNA", at positions 338 to 795 of the family's 1533-position model. The record is from RNAcentral.
CCUACGGGAGGCAGCAGUCGAGAAUCAUUCACAAUGGGGGAAACCCUGAUGGUGCGACGCCGCGUGGGGGAAUGAAGGUCUUCGGAUUGUAAACUCCUGUCAUGUGGGAGCAAAUUAAAAAGAUAGUACCACAAGAGGAAGAGACGGCUAACUCUGUGCCAGCAGCUGCGGUAAUACAGAGGUGUCAAGCGUUGUUCGGAAUCACUGGGCGUAAAGCGUGCGUAGGCUGUUUCGUAAGUCGUGUGUGAAAGGCGUGGGCUCAACGCGCGGACGGUAGAUGAUACUGCGAGGCUAGAGUAAUGGAGGGGGAACCGGAAUUCUCGGUGUAGCAGUGAAAUGCGUAGAGAUCGGGAGGAACACUCGUGGCGAAGGCGGGUUCCUGGGCAUUAACUGACGCUGAGGCACGAAGGCGAGGGGAGCGAAAGGGAUUAGAUACCCCAGUAGUC